GACGAACGCUGGCGGCGUGCUUAACACAUGCAAGUUGAACGGAAAGGCCCUGCUUUUGUGGGGUGCUCGAGUGGCGAACGGGUGAGUAACACGUGAGUAACCUGCCCUUGACUUUGGGAUAACUUCAGGAAACUGGGGCUAAUACCGGAUAGGAGCUCCUGCUGCAUGGUGGGGGUUGGAAAGUUUCGGCGGUUGGGGAUGGACUCGCGGCUUAUCAGCUUGUUGGUGGGGUAGUGGCUUACCAAGGCUUUGACGGGUAGCCGGCCUGAGAGGGUGACCGGCCACAUUGGGACUGAGAUACGGCCCAGACUCCUACGGGAGGCAGCAGUGGGGAAUAUUGUACAAUGGGCGGAAGCCUGAUGCAGCAACGCCGCGUGCGGGAUGACGGCCUUCGGGUUGUAAACCGCUUUCGCCUGUGACGAAGCGUGAGUGACGGUAAUGGGUAAAGAAGCACCGGCUAACUACGUG
RNAcentral lists this ribosomal RNA (468 nucleotides) under uncultured bacterium. Its description in RNAcentral is "partial 16S ribosomal RNA". It matches the Rfam family "Bacterial small subunit ribosomal RNA", at positions 28 to 507 of the family's 1533-position model. The record is from RNAcentral.